Molecule: ribosomal RNA, 207 nt
Filed under: uncultured bacterium
Lineage: Bacteria
Description: partial 16S ribosomal RNA
Rfam family: Bacterial small subunit ribosomal RNA
Source: RNAcentral
AGCGCAGGCGGUGCGGCAAGCCUGAUGUGAAAGCCCGGGGCUCAACCCCGGUACUGCAUUGGAAACUGUCGUACUAGAGUGUCGGAGGGGUAAGCGGAAUUCCUAGUGUAGCGGUGAAAUGCGUAGAUAUUAGGAGGAACACCAGUGGCGAAGGCGGCUUACUGGACGAUAACUGACGCUGAGGCUCGAAAGCGUGGGGAGCAAACA